This is a long non-coding RNA of Gavialis gangeticus (Gharial), 566 nucleotides long. RefSeq lists it as uncharacterized. The transcript has 4 exons. NCBI's taxonomy places the organism in Eukaryota, Metazoa, Chordata, Crocodylia, Gavialidae. The record is from RefSeq and is a predicted model, not a curated record.
UAAGAACUUUGAUGUAAAAAAUCUUAUGGUUUAAAAUGAAAUGGAAACUUUACAACAUGAAAAAGAAAGAAGCCAAACUCAACAGCGACAUAUAUUUUCUAAGCCUAUGCAAGAAACACAACUUUGUUCCCCGAGGACUAAACAUCUACAAUCCUCUGACUACUACACACAACUCCAAAUAUGCUUCACAGCUAUGCAGAAGAACUUCAGAGAAAAUUAAAAAUCAUCUACUUCACCUAACCUACUCCAAAAGAGACCAACUCAGGAAGGAAAUCACCACAUAUUACAACAACUUAAAAGACAGAAAUCCAAUCAUCUUCCCUAAUAAUAUACAAUGGACACAAAGAGACUUCAAAAAACUUUCUAUAACAUUCAUCCUACAUAAAAAUAAGAAAUGGAACAAAUUACAGCAAGAACAACCUCCCCAGCCACAGAACAACCAUCAGAGGAACAACACCAACACCUUACAACAUUCCAACCUCAGACUUGAUGAAACUGAAAGCAGCAACCAACCCUCAAAUAUCAUCAAUCUCUCCACACACACGCUUACCAAAACUGAAAGAUCA